CCUACGGGUGGCAGCAGUGGGGAAUCUUGCGCAAUGGGGGAAACCCUGACGCAGCAACGCCGCGUGGGUGAUGAAGGCCUUCGGGUCGUAAAGCCCUGUCAGGUGGUGAACAACCAUUCUGUUUGACGGUACCCUCAAAGGAAGCACCGGCUAACUCCGUGCCAGCAGCCGCGGUAAUACGGAGGGUGCGAGCGUUGUUCGGAAUUAUUGGGCGUAAAGCGCGUGUAGGCGGUUUGUUAAGUCUGAUGUGAAAGCCCCGGGCUCAACCUGGGAAGUGCAUUGGAUACUGGCAGACUUGAGUACGGGAGAGGAGAGUGGAAUUCCCAGUGUAGGAGUAAAAUCCGUAGAUAUUGGGAGGAACACCGGUGGCGAAGGCGGCUCUCUGGACCGAUACUGACGCUGAGACGCGAAAGCGUGGGGAGCAAACAGGAUUAGAUACCCCUGUAGU
This 448-nucleotide ribosomal RNA is filed under the name uncultured Geobacteraceae bacterium. Its description in RNAcentral is "partial 16S ribosomal RNA". It matches the Rfam family "Bacterial small subunit ribosomal RNA", at positions 338 to 794 of the family's 1533-position model. Lineage: Bacteria; Pseudomonadati; Thermodesulfobacteriota; Desulfuromonadia; Geobacterales; Geobacteraceae. The record is from RNAcentral.